CAAAUUAAUUUUUAAGAAGAUAUAUUUAUUUACAAUAAAUAAUAAAAUUGUGCAAUUCAAUUUAAUUUGC
This 70-nucleotide transfer RNA is filed under the name Perga condei. RNAcentral's name for it is "tRNA-Val". The record is from RNAcentral. Lineage: Eukaryota; Metazoa; Arthropoda; Insecta; Hymenoptera; Pergidae.